UAAAGCGUACACCUGUGAUCAGUGUGGCAGAGCUUUUACUCAAGGUAACAACUUACAGAGUCAUCUAGUUACCCACUCUGGAAUUAAGGCGUACAGCUGUGACAUUUGUGGAAAAACUUUCAGCCGGAUAGACAGCCGUAACAUUCACCUACGCAUUCACACCAGACAUGAUGUGUACAGCUGUGAUCAGUGUGGUAAACAGUUUACUACAAACACAGAGUUACGACGUCACAUGUUUACCCACACUGAGGAACGACCUUAUAAAUGUGACCUUUGUGAGAAGACUUUUAAAUCUCCACAUUACCUGAAAGCACACCAACAGAUCCACACCAGAAAGACUCUACAAGUGCAGUUACUGUGAGAAGCAGAGCGACACAGAUGGAUCAAGUUCUCAACCCUGUCAUCGCUGUGGGAAAGACUUUUGUUGUGACCUUUGUGGAAAAACUUUUAGUCAUUGAAGGACUCUGAAAAUACAUCAACGUAGACACACUGGAGACAAAAUGAACUACUGUAAAGAAUGCGGGAGAGGCUUCACCACUUCAAAGGACUUCAAACAAUAUGAACUCCUUCACAGUGGCGUCAAAAAGCAUGUCUGCGAUCAGUGUGGGUCAUCCUUCAUCAGUGCACGUCAGCUUGAAAAGCAUAAACGAGUCCACACAUGAGAGAAACUAUACAAGUGCAGACUCUGUGACAAAACCUUUUCACAAUCAUGUGAUCAUACUAAGCAUGAACGCAGACACAUGAAAGAGAACUUCAUCACGGCGCCCCUCCGUGUGCGGCAGCCUGUUACAGCAGCUCUGCUCGUUCUGAGUUUCUUUCUUUCUUAUCUUUUUUUCUUGUAAUUUUUUAUAACGAACGUAUUAGUAAUUAGAUAACAAAUUUCCCACGUGUGGGACUAAUAAAGGUUAUCUUAUCUUAUCUGUGAAAGAGUUUGAGUAAUCUCAGUUCAUACUCCACUCAGAAACGAUUCCAUGUUACAAAUAAACUGUUACGUCUUGAUUCCUGCUUUUACGUUAAUCUUAUAAACAGUACAUUUGUAUAACGACUGAAACCGGCCCAAUGAAUGAACAAUGGGCUGUGAGGCAAUUUCUUCAUCAUUAAUAUGCAAAUUCUUAUGAGCAUUGAUCAACAACCACUGGUCAAUGGCCAUGAGUACCAUUCACAGAGUAAAACUUUGCAUAAUGAUUAUGAAGUUUACUGUUACCAAUGUUCAAAAACAUUUACUAAAUUAUCUUCUCUGUGCAAACAUCAGCGUGAUGCAGGACUGAAAUCAUUGCCAUCUCUGGAUCACAGUGAAUCUGCAGAGACAGAAAGAUCCUCUUCUGGUUUCAGGGUCAGACUUAAACCCUUGAGAUCAGGCUCCACAGAGUUCAGGUGGAGUCUUCUGUAAAGAUCUGAUGAGGCAGCU
Molecule: long non-coding RNA, 1408 nt
Organism: Oreochromis niloticus (Nile tilapia)
Lineage: Eukaryota; Metazoa; Chordata; Actinopteri; Cichliformes; Cichlidae
Exons: 2
Source: RefSeq, a predicted model, not a curated record